Molecule: ribosomal RNA, 784 nt
Filed under: uncultured Cytophaga sp.
Lineage: Bacteria; Pseudomonadati; Bacteroidota; Cytophagia; Cytophagales; Cytophagaceae
Description: bacterial SSU rRNA
Rfam family: Bacterial small subunit ribosomal RNA
Source: RNAcentral
GAGGAGCUUUCGGGCUUCGACCGGCGUACGGGUGCGUAACGCGUAUACAAUCUGCCUUUCACAUAGGGAUAGCCCGAAGAAAUUUGGAUUAAUACCUAAUGGUAUAUAGAUGUGGCAUCACCUUUAUAUUAAAGCUGAGGCGGUGAAAGAUGAGUAUGCGUUCUAUUAGCUAGUUGGAGAGGUAACGGCUCCCCAAGGCUACGAUAGAUAGGGGUUCUGAGAGGGAUAUCCCCCACACUGGUACUGAGAUACGGACCAGACUCCUACGGGAGGCAGCAGUGAGGAAUAUUGGACAAUGGUCGGAAGACUGAUCCAGCCAUGCCGCGUGCAGGAAGACGGCCUUAUGGGUUGUAAACUGCUUUUGCAGGGGAAGAAUAAGGACUACGAGUAGUUUGAUGACGGUACUCUGCGAAUAAGCAUCGGCUAACUCCGUGCCAGCAGCCGCGGUAAUACGGAGGAUGCGAGCGUUAUCCGGAAUCAUUGGGUUUAAAGGGUCCGUAGGCGGGCUAAUAAGUCAGAGGUGAAAGCGCUCAGCUCAACUGAGCAACUGCCUUUGAAACUGUUAGUCUUGCAUGGUUGUGAAGUAGUUGGACUGUGUAGUGUACGCGGUGAAAUGCUUAGGUAUUACACAGAACACCGAUAGCGAAGGCAUAUUACUAACAAUUAAUUGACGCCGAUGGACGAAAGCGUGGGGAGCGAACAGGAUUAGAUACCCUGGUAGUCCACGCUGUAAACGAUGGAUACUAGCUGUUUGGUUGUAAGACUGAGUGGCUAAGCGAAAGUG